Molecule: long non-coding RNA, 221 nt
Filed under: Lathyrus oleraceus (garden pea)
Lineage: Eukaryota; Viridiplantae; Streptophyta; Magnoliopsida; Fabales; Fabaceae
Description: Pisum sativum (pea) long non-coding RNA (PSAT_LNC033262)
Source: RNAcentral
UCAUCUCAUUGCUCCCAUUACAUGGUUGAAGCAUUGGGAUAAAAACCCAAGAUCAAUCGAGUCAAUAAUGGGGAAAGAGUUCCAUCUUUCUGAACUCCCCCACUUUCUAUUAUUUGAUGCUCUCCCUGAUUAGGGAUAGAAGCAAUGAGGCACACCCCUCAUCUCCUAUUCAUCUGCUUCACCUUAGCCUCUCAAUGGCAAGGUUAAGAGCGACCUUUACC